This 308-nucleotide ribosomal RNA is filed under the name uncultured bacterium. RNAcentral describes it as "bacterial SSU rRNA". It matches the Rfam family "Bacterial small subunit ribosomal RNA", at positions 28 to 333 of the family's 1533-position model. The record is from RNAcentral.
GAUGAACGCUAGCGGCAGGCUUAAUACAUGCAAGUCGAGGGGCAGCACGGGUAGCAAUACCUGGUGGCGACCGGCAAACGGGUGCGGAACACGUACGCAACCCUCCUUUAAGCGGGGAAUAGCCCAGAGAAAUUUGGAUUAAUACCCCAUAACAUAAAUGAGAAAGCAUUUUCUUAUUAUUAAAGAUUUAUCACUUAGAGAUGGGCGUGCGGCUGAUUAGGUAGUUGGCGGAGUAAAGCCCACCAAGCCUACGAUCAGUAGCUGAUGUAAGAGCAUGAUCAGCCACACGGGCACUGAGACACGGGCCC